Molecule: non-coding RNA, 229 nt
Organism: Pelobates cultripes (western spadefoot toad)
Lineage: Eukaryota; Metazoa; Chordata; Amphibia; Anura; Pelobatidae
Source: the annotation of a GenBank genome assembly
CCAGUGUAGUAAUAGUGCAGGCUGGGUGCAGCCCAUAAGUUGCCAUCAACGGCUCUAUGAGAAGCACUGAAUUCAAUGCUGCAUACCCAGUUCAGCAACAGCAUAAACUGCAUGUUGACGCUUUACCUAAAGUAGAUUCCAUUAGUGAAUCCAAAUCCUUCAAGGAACAUUAUAGCCACCAAAACAACUUUAUCUUAAUGAAGCCGUAUGGAUGUAUAGACAAUGUCCC